CUCGGUCCUAAACUAUGAGGCAUGCAGUAUUUCUAAAUCAUCAAUUUAGCUAACUAAACAUAAAUUAAAUAAUUAAAUAAUAUAUCAUUAGAAAGUUCCGUCGAUAAUCCAUAUUCUUUAAGCGUUUGUAUCCCAUACCAAAAACGGAAGAAAGUACACACGAAACGGACGAAAGAAAGCAUUCUCUUCCCAUUCGCCCGAUUCCCUCUGCGCAUCACCGCCGCCGCCAUUGCCUUCUCUCUUCCCCCGCCCGGAGAGGCGCCGCCUCCUCCAUUGCCCUUCCUCGCUUCUGCCUCCGCCGCCGUUGUUCCCCAACACACCGCCGUCGUGCCCCCACCCACUCCCUCCCCCCUCUUUCCCACAAAAAUAGAGAGGCACGAGAGACACAAGCGAUGCCCUUGACGGGUAGCCUACGACCCGACAAGGGAAGUGAGGGCUCGGAGGCCGACUUCGUGGGCGGCAGAAAGGUAAGGGCCCGCCAGCGAGUCGAGGAGGAGGAAGAGCUGGUAGCCAGGAGCGGCUGGAGCUGCGGUGGCAGCCGGAGCGGAGGGACACGGGAUGAACCGCAUCCAGGUCUUCAAUACCAAGAACACUAUGUACUUAUAUAUCAACCAAGUUUCAUUGGCGCCCAAGGUCACCUUCACUACUAACUCUCGAGAAGGAGGAAGAGAUCUCAAAUCGGAACCAGGAAUGAUUAAUUGUGUCUUUUCAUUGCAGAUUUGUUCCAUUGUUGUAAAAACAUCAGUAAGGAAUAUAUAAACAGAUAAAAGGAAAUUUGAGCUAUUCCGGAUUGAUUCCACAAGUGACCUUUUCGUGGUGUUUAUUAGAAACUUGUGAGAAUGAUUCGUUGUCUGUAGUUGUACAUUCCCCCAAUAUUCUGUGCAAAUAUUAGACCAAAUAAAAGACAAGAAAAUAAGCAUAUGCUCAGAA
Long non-coding RNA from Brachypodium distachyon (stiff brome), 930 nucleotides. RefSeq lists it as uncharacterized. Lineage: Eukaryota; Viridiplantae; Streptophyta; Magnoliopsida; Poales; Poaceae. The transcript is spliced from 2 exons. The record is from RefSeq and is a predicted model, not a curated record.